RNAcentral lists this ribosomal RNA (161 nucleotides) under Petrocosmea flaccida. RNAcentral describes it as "5.8S ribosomal RNA". It matches the Rfam family "5.8S ribosomal RNA". Rfam says of the family: 5.8S ribosomal RNA (5.8S rRNA) is a component of the large subunit of the eukaryotic ribosome. It is transcribed by RNA polymerase I as part of the 45S precursor that also contains 18S and 28S rRNA. RNAcentral also lists the same sequence under 2 other names. Lineage: Eukaryota; Viridiplantae; Streptophyta; Magnoliopsida; Lamiales; Gesneriaceae. The record is from RNAcentral.
ACGACUCUCGGCAACGGAUAUCUCGGCUCUCGCAUCGAUGAAGAACGUAGCGAAAUGCGAUACUUGGUGUGAAUUGCAGAAUCCCGUGAACCAUCGAGUCUUUGAACGCAAGUUGCGCCCGAUGCCAUCAGGUUGAGGGCACGUCUGCCUGGGCGUCACGC